Molecule: unclassified non-coding RNA, 179 nt
Filed under: uncultured Lasiosphaeriaceae
Lineage: Eukaryota; Fungi; Ascomycota; Sordariomycetes; Sordariales; Lasiosphaeriaceae
Description: sequence contains ITS1
Source: RNAcentral
CCGAGUUGCAAAACUCCCUUAAACCAUCGCGAACGUUACCCCACAACCGUUGCUUCGGCGGGCAGGCCAACCCCUCGCGGGGCGUCUCCCCGGCCCCCCUCGCGGGGGCGCUCGCCGGAGCGGCACAACCAAACUCUUAUAACUAUUGGCCUCUCUGAGUAAGAUUUUUAAAUAAGUCA